This 259-nucleotide unclassified non-coding RNA is filed under the name Hevea brasiliensis (rubber tree). The record is from RNAcentral. Lineage: Eukaryota; Viridiplantae; Streptophyta; Magnoliopsida; Malpighiales; Euphorbiaceae.
CAGGCUUCUUCUUCUUCUUCUUCUACUAUGCCGUUUGCAUCUCCAAAAUCUCGAUUUGCUUCAAAGCAAGAACAGUUCUUCCCACGCUGCACUCCAAGAAACUCAGGCCCUCAAUCUCAUGACUCUCCACCAAAACGAGACACUGGUAUUGCUAACGAGAAAGAGUGGGGCAUCGAUAUGCUAAACGAGAAUGUCAAUGAAUCUGGGACUAACGAAGAUGGUAGUACUUGGUAUCGAAAGAGUGGAGAAAACAUUGGUG